This is a long non-coding RNA of Anas platyrhynchos (mallard), 2524 nucleotides long. RefSeq lists it as uncharacterized. The record is from RefSeq and is a predicted model, not a curated record. Lineage: Eukaryota; Metazoa; Chordata; Aves; Anseriformes; Anatidae.
CGGCCAGCAGCACGGGCACGGCGUUACGUGGUGCUCACACCGACCUGGAGAGCCUGCGCGUCCGAGAACAGCCUCCCCAGAGCCCAGGCAAAAGCAGAUCCAACGCCACUUACCACACUCAGAGGAGGCUCGGUGGCAGCCAGGAAGGAGGCUGCCCUUCCUCACCAGCUCCUGCCUCGGCACUGAGCCCCCUCCCCGGCCGCACAGCCCCGGCUCAGCCCCCGGCUCCCUUAACGAGCACGGAGAGGAGCCGCGGCAGCAGGAGGCGGCGAGGUGAGAGGUCAGUGUAAUAUUUACUCAGACAUCACCUUUCACUUUUAUGAAGCGGGGAAAUCGUGUCGGAGCAGGAAAAGGGCUGCAAGGGACAUUCCAGCCUGGGAAGCCACCUUCACACUGAGAACAGCACGCAGCGAGAUGGUUCCGAGCAGGCCGGUGUGCAGAGAGCUGUUAACACGGCCAGACACAGCACCAGCACCUCGGGGCAGGGCAGGAUGGGUGCCGGGGCAGGGAGCAGCUGCUCUCGUCCCCACCGUGGGCACAGCAUGGGCCCAGCUCGCAGGGCUCUCCCAGCUAUCACUCUGCCUCUUAAGAUGAUCUAGAUUUUUUUUUUAUAAUGCGAUUCUGAUGCCUUUUAUCUCCUGCUCUGAAUGUAAUUUUAGCCCAGGCAAAGCAGGAUUAAACUUUCAUAAUAUGAUACAUUUAUCUCGCUUUCGUUCACCCCAUCACCACCUCCCAGCUCGAUUUCACCCAAACAGAAGCAAUGAUUACAGCGAGAAACACGAGAUGGGAUCUAUCAGAUAGCAGAAGGGAGGGCACCUCUUUCCCAGCGCCCCGUCCCUGCCUGCCCUGCCGCAGCAGCCCAGCUGCCAGCAUCAGGCUGCCAGCAUCACUCAGGCCCCUCUGAAAUACACAGGUGGAUCCUAAUUUGGGCUCAAAACCCAGCAGAGAGCACACAGCUAGGGUGCAUCACUGAUGUAUGUUGCACCUGCGUGUUUGGGAAGGCUUUGUAUGCCUUCUUGGUGACCUCCUGCUCCAGCUGCACCCCGGCAGCUCCCAGCACCUACACUUGGACCAGAAGAGCCACGAACCAUGCCAGGGAGCCACAAACCAUGCCGGGGAACCAGGCUUUCCUGGACCAGGAGCAGGAAGAUCCAGCCUGCCUCAGCCAGGAAUUUCUGGAGAGCACCAAACCCUUCCUGCCUCCCCCACAAGCGCUGUUUUCAGCCACCAGGGAGGCUCCGCUCUGGCUCCACCAGCCUGAUCCGGAGGAUCCCCUCUAGUGGGACGAGAUGGAAUUUCAAGCCCACCGCCCGCUGCCAUCCGCUCCCAGAGCCCUCCGUGCCCCGGCUGGAACCGCAGCCAGGGUGGGGGCACCAGGCCCGGGUGGUUCAUGCUCACAGCCCCAUCCCCAGCACCAGCACGCAGCCAACGUUUGGAUUUUAACCAUGGAGAAAAACCCAAACGUGACCCCCCCCGGGCAGCCGCCUCUGCCGCCCAAGGCCAGCCGCUGCCCUGCUUUUGUUCCCUUCUCUUUUCAGGGCCCAGGCGCUGGCUGCACCGCUCCUGCAGACAAAGGGCUCGUGGCCUCCACGCACCAAAGCGCCUCCGAGCCCCCGUGCCAGCCCCCUCGGGGCUCUCAGCGGGCGGCACAAGGAGGCCGUGCACAGGACACCCUUGGUGAUGGUCCUAAAGAUGCAUCGGAUCCCACCAGGGGUGUUGGUGGCUCAGGGCUUGGCAGCACCUUUGUCCCCCCCACACCCUGGGUUCCCCCUGCCCUCCCUUCUUUUGGUGUGGCGGUGGCCUCCUAGCCAAGCUGGUUAAGAGAUUAACACUCUAAAAACCACAUUUACUCUAAUUAGCCAUGAAAUCUUUGUAACUAAGUGAAAAAAUGUUUCCCUUGAGGGAUUUUUGUCCAUUCAUCACUGUUUGAAUUGCCAGGGAGAGAGAGGAGAGAAAGAAGAGAAAAGAGGGGGAGAAGAGGGGAAGAAAACCUCAGAUCUAAUGAAUUAACGGCGGAGUGCCCCGGGGGAGCAGCGGGCUCCUACAAAACACCUCAAAGGGGGCUUUUCACUGCUGGCCAAAGGGAUGCUGCGGAAUUAUUUCAAGUUAGCAGACCGCAACACAACGCCCCGCGAGCCGGGCAGCCUGGCUGCAGGACCCGUGCCUCCCUUCCGUGGGGACGGACAGACGGACGCUGCGCGCACCGACAGCUGCGUGCCGCUGCCCUGGGGACAGCUGGGGGACAGGGCCCCCAGUUGUUGUCUUACUGGGGGGGGGGAAAAAAGCUUCACAAAGUUGUGGGGGUGAGAUUCUCACCACGACUUGGGCCCAUAAAUAUUUCAAAUCGCUGGAAUAAGAACAAUUAUAUUCCUGCCAGCGCUUUUCUUGUGUAUUUUAAAUGUGUCACCGCCUUCCACUUUCUCCCCCGUUUGUGUUUCUCGUAACAGGCCCAUGAAAUAAAGAUUAGCUGAAUAAUCAAGAGUGUUUAGAAAUGUGAAGGGGCUCGUCUCAGGAGCACUGUGCA